Molecule: long non-coding RNA, 797 nt
Organism: Pectinophora gossypiella (pink bollworm)
Lineage: Eukaryota; Metazoa; Arthropoda; Insecta; Lepidoptera; Gelechiidae
Exons: 3
Source: RefSeq, a predicted model, not a curated record
GAUGAGUCUUUCUAACGGAAAUUUAUGACAGCUGAAAAUCAAAUGUUCAAUAUCACCAACAGUAUUUUCACAGGCGGUGCACUUGUUAUCCAGUAUUAUGCCCAAUCUAUAUAAAUGUGCAGGAGUGGUGUGGUGGCCAAAACGAAGCCGGUUCAUGGUCGUAAUAAAAUCUCGGCUAGCAACCUUCAAAUUGUUAUACCACGGUUGAGUUGGUAAAACUUCUUGUACGCUUCCGUACCAUUUUCCUUUUUCUUGUUGGUCUUCUUUCCAAAAAUCAAUCCAUAUUUCUAACAUAUCCUUUUUAAUUGAUGCAUAGAAAUCAGUGAAUGGAGUAUUUGCAACAAAUGAAACAUCUAAUAAAUUAGUCCCCUCAUAUGCAGCUUUAUCCGCAAUUUCGUUUCCUGUUAUUCCUCUAUGGGAGGGUAUCCACAUAAAGGAUAUUUCAACUCCCUUGACAGCUUUAAAUUCAUAUAAAAUUUGAAUUAUCUUAAAUAAUAAAUAGUUGGAUUUGAAGUGGAAGUUUAAAUUGUCUAGUGCCUGGAGAACACUUAAUGAAUCAGAAAAUUUGAGACAUGCUUGGUGAUUUACGACAGAGAAGGUCACUUCCAGUUAUUGAGGGUGCAAUUUGCUGACAUGGAUGAGAUCUGACACAAGCGAGACAAAGCUGUCUGCACAACUUCUUCCUCGCCUGAAGCCAUAUUGAAUAUUUGGUAUAAUACCCUUGGACUCAACAUACCAAUCAAGACGGAUUUUAAUCAUAUUCUCGAAAAUUUUUCCUAAACAAGAUGAUAACGAAA